GACGAACGCUGGCGGCGUGCUUAACACAUGCAAGUCGAACGGAAAGGCCCUGCUUUUGUGGGGUGCUCGAGUGGCGAACGGGGGAGUAACACGUGAGUAACCUGCCCUUGACUUUGGGAUAACUUCUGGAAACUGGGGCUCAUACCGGAUAGGAGCUCCUGCUGCAUGGUGGGGGUUGGAAAGUUUCGGCGGUUGGGGAUGGACUCGCGGCUUAUCAGCUUGUUGGUGGGGUAGUGGCUUACCAAGGCUUCGACGGGUAGCCGGCCUGAGAGGGUGACCGGCCACAUUGGGACUGAGAUACGGCCCAGACUCCUACGGGAGGCAGCAGUGGGGAAUAUUGCACAAUGGGCGGAAGCCUGAUGCAGCAACGCCGCGUGCGGGAUGACGGCCUUCGGGUUGUAAACCGCUUUCGCCUGUGACGAAGCGUGAGUGACGGUAAUGGGUAAAGAAGCACCGGCUAACUACGUG
This 468-nucleotide ribosomal RNA is filed under the name uncultured bacterium. RNAcentral describes it as "partial 16S ribosomal RNA". It matches the Rfam family "Bacterial small subunit ribosomal RNA", at positions 28 to 507 of the family's 1533-position model. The record is from RNAcentral.